GACUAAAACCUCACUGCUACAAAAGACAAUCUCAAAUAUACGCGAGUUUCUUUCCAGCCACAGAGCAUAGUAUACUUCAGCAGUCACCAUUUGAAUAUGUUGGCUCUACUUGACUUCCCUUUAGCUUUGCUAAUUAGCCACUGGAGUCUCUGGUCCCAGUUCUGUGUUCUGGGAUGCUCCUCUUGAAUCCAAUUCAUUGUUUGCUCCCAUAGCUCUAUUGAAUAUGAGCAAGAAAGGAAUAUAUGAUCUCUGGAUUCUGUAUGGUUUUGACACAACAUACAUAUCUGGUCAACAUUCAUUCCCCAUUGUGUUAGCCUAUCCUUGGUUGG
Molecule: long non-coding RNA, 329 nt
Filed under: Nicotiana benthamiana
Lineage: Eukaryota; Viridiplantae; Streptophyta; Magnoliopsida; Solanales; Solanaceae
Description: long non-coding RNA (NBEN_LNC012455)
Source: RNAcentral